CUCUAGUUGUAGGACUUCCGUUCAG
Molecule: microRNA, 25 nt
Filed under: Eptesicus fuscus (big brown bat)
Lineage: Eukaryota; Metazoa; Chordata; Mammalia; Chiroptera; Vespertilionidae
Description: efu-miR-9236a
Source: miRBase by way of RNAcentral